CACACAGUCGUUCUUUGGCGUUGGCUGAGUCUCACUCUCACGUGGUGGCCCGAACGUGAGGUGCACUCAAAUCAUACCUCAGGAGAUACUUCACCCAACAUCUCCCCCUAGAGGUAAGUAUAUAAUUGGGUUACCAUGCCCCUCUCAUAGGCAGUCCACGGAAACCCCCACCACUGCAGUGACCGUUUAAUAUACCACCAGACCCAUAAAAUUUUCAGUAGCAUAAUAUGGCGAAUAAAAUUUAAUCCAGUCUACCGAGACCAAUCCAAAACUGUUCAUAUAUUUCAUGCCAACCCCAAAAAUUUAGCCAUCAUGCUACCAUAGUGUCAUAAGCCCCAAUUUCAAUAACAUAUAAAAUCAUAAAUUUCAACACAGUCUCCAUAUACUCAAUUUUCCCAAAACAAUAUUUGAUUUCAAAACCAAUAUAAAUAUCAUUUUUAUUAAAAAAAUAUUUUAAUU
Molecule: long non-coding RNA, 459 nt
Filed under: Theobroma cacao (cacao)
Lineage: Eukaryota; Viridiplantae; Streptophyta; Magnoliopsida; Malvales; Malvaceae
Description: long non-coding RNA (TCAC_LNC005860)
Source: RNAcentral